Molecule: non-coding RNA, 733 nt
Organism: Microcebus murinus (gray mouse lemur)
Lineage: Eukaryota; Metazoa; Chordata; Mammalia; Primates; Cheirogaleidae
Source: RefSeq, a predicted model, not a curated record
CCCCCCCCCCGCCCCCGGGGCACACGGCAAAGUGGAGAAGGACAGGAGGCAAGUGGGUCUGAAGGGGAGAGAAUAACAGCACAGGUACCCAGUUGGAUGUCCUUGGACCCUGCAUUAGUCGGGGAGCCAGAGAAACCUGGAGAGAACAGGGACCCCAAGAAGUGGCCGAUAGCCCCCAGGAGGGAGCCGGCGGUUUCCUGGAGAACAGGAGCCUGUCUGUUUGCAAGUCUGGAGGAGGGAGGAGGAGAAGGAGCUGAGUGUUACCAAGUGCCAAGCACGAAGUACCUGCAGAGCUGGUGGCAGGGAGGGCAGCAGUCUGCAUGAAAGCAUCCAGCAGCCGCCAGGAUCCUUCCAGAACACGAGCCGGAUGGUGUCAGUCACGCUUGAGUCUCUUGGAUGUUCCCCACUGCACAGCUCAAGUCUCCAGUCCUUCACUCCUUCCUCGCUGACAAGGACCGCCCCGUCAGCCCCCAACACCCCUCUCUGUGUCUGCCGCUUAUGCAGCUGUUCUCUGACUUAAAUCUCUCCUCCCUCCCACCGUGUCCCCAACUGACUGACCCCCACUGUCUCACUGUCUCUGUGGCUUCCUCCGGAGCCCUUCCCAACACCCCGCUGACAUCCUAUUCUCCCAUUAUAAACCUUACUAACGGAAGCCGAGGUCAGAGAAUCGCUUGAGACCAGGAGCUCCAGGCCAGCCACAUAGUGAGACCCCCGUCUCUGUAAAAAUAAAAGU